UGCGGAGCGCGGAACGACCGACGGCCGACUGUCAACUUCAGAUACGCGUGGGCUCCGGAGAUUAGUAUAUCAGAGGCAUAAGCAAACAGACGUGGAGAUUUCAGGGCCGGAUCGCGAUCCGGAAUUGAAUUCCGCUUGGGUUCAAAGGGCAGUUUGCAGCUUAUUUAAACUUACGCAAAACCAGAAAAUAAGAACGGAAAACCAGAACAACAGCAACGGAGAACAGGCAAAAAAAAAACGGAGAAGUGGAGAGAAGAUAGAAGAGGAGGAGCGGAACACGCUGCGCUCAUUACACACCUGGCGUUCACCGCUUUUGCUCGACCCUGCAAAGCGAGUACGCAUCAAAGAAAAACUGUUCGGUAAAAAA
This is a long non-coding RNA of Drosophila mauritiana, 367 nucleotides long. RefSeq lists it as uncharacterized. The transcript is spliced from 2 exons. NCBI's taxonomy places the organism in Eukaryota, Metazoa, Arthropoda, Insecta, Diptera, Drosophilidae. The record is from RefSeq and is a predicted model, not a curated record.